GGCAUCAACAGACCAUUUCUCCCUCAUUCGUUUGCUGAGAAACAACUUUCGACUGACGGUAGGGGGUUCCUCAAGUAUUUCACCAUAGAUUGGAGGAUCUUUCUUGUGGAUGGAGCACAAGGUGUCAGAUCUGAGGGUCCUGUGUGAGCAAUGGAUGUAAGAAAAUGCCCAACAGGAGUCGCCAUUUCUGGAGAUCCCCCAGUCUCUAUCGUCUUGGUCAGAUUAUUCUCCAAAUUGUUGACCACCUCUUCC
This 252-nucleotide long non-coding RNA is filed under the name Elaeis guineensis (African oil palm). Its description in RNAcentral is "long non-coding RNA (EGUI_LNC008858)". The record is from RNAcentral. Lineage: Eukaryota; Viridiplantae; Streptophyta; Magnoliopsida; Arecales; Arecaceae.